ACUUUAACCUAUAAAGUGGAUAUGGACUUGCAAUUAUAACAUGGAAUCUCUACACACCCCAUGAGCUCGAUCCAAUCCACGCACACGAGUUGCCUGAGUAGCGACAGGUAUACCGAUGUGCAAUACGUAUCCGGCCACGGCACGGAACGAACGGGAACUGUGGUGCAGACAUACAAAGAGUUAAGCCUACUAGUCAUUAACUCUAAGGACGGGGCCAUGGGGCGGUACGCAAAGGAUACGGAUGAGCGAGUAUGCAGGCCCAAUACUCAAUAGCUCGAUCCGAUCCAAGCACAUGAGUUGACUGCGGCGCCAGGUUAACCAAUGUGCUAGAUUCUAUUUGGCCAGUAGAAUCUUGUGUCUUACGCGAUUUGAUACCAAGACACCAGAACGAAAGUUAGUUGAAGAGUGAUUAAACUCUUAUGAAGAAUGGUUGUGCAAUCACAACUUAUGACUUUAACCUAUAAAGUGGAUAUGGACUAUCAAUUAUAACAUGGGGCACACACCAUGUUCUCGAUCCAAUCCACGCACACGAGUUGCCUGAGUAGCGACAGGUAUACCGAUGUGCAAUACGUAUCCGGCCAUAGGCACGGAACGAACAGGAACUGUGGUGCAGACAUACAAGGGCCAUGGGGCGGUACGCAAAGGAUACGGAUGAGCGAGUAUGCAGGCCCAAUACUCAAUAGCUCGAUCCGAUCCAAGCACAUGAGUUGACUGCGGCGUCAGGUUAACCGAUGUGCUAAGAGAGUUGUUCCUGGGCCUUCAAAGUGACUUCAAAACUAUCUUAGCGAAUGGUGGCCAUGGGCGUAGACAUGAGCCACAAGUCACAAGGCCUGGGACUAUUGGGUAAUAAAGACAACUUAGUCAGAAAGUUAGUCUUUGGAC
Long non-coding RNA from Anopheles funestus (African malaria mosquito), 882 nucleotides. RefSeq lists it as uncharacterized. The record is from RefSeq and is a predicted model, not a curated record. The transcript is spliced from 2 exons. NCBI's taxonomy places the organism in Eukaryota, Metazoa, Arthropoda, Insecta, Diptera, Culicidae.